UGAAAUGCGUAGAGAUCUGGAGGAAUACCGGUGGCGAAGGCGGCCCCCUGGACGAAGACUGACGCUCAGGUGCGAAAGCGUGGGGAGCAAACAGGAUUAGAUACCCUGGUAGUCCACGCCGUAAACGAUGUCGACUUGGAGGUUGUGCCCUUGAGGCGUGGCUUCCGGAGCUAACGCGUUAAGUCGACCGCCUGGGGAGUACGGCCGCAAGGUUAAAACUCAAAUGAAUUGACGGGGGCCCGCACAAGCGGUGGAGCAUGUGGUUUAAUUCGAUGCAACGCGAAGAACCUUACCUGGUCUUGACAUCCACGGAAGUUUUCAGAGAUGAGAAUGUGCCUUCGGGAACCGUGAGACAGGUGCUGCAUGGCUGUCGUCAGCUCGUGUUGUGAAAUGUUGGGUUAAGUCCCGCAACGAGCGCAACCCUUAUCCUUUGUUGCCAGCGGUCCGGCCGGGAACUCAAAGGAGACUGCCAGUGAUAAACUGGAGGAAGGUGGGGAUGACGUCAAGUCAUCAUGGCCCUUACGACCAGGGCUACACACGUGCUACAAUGGCGCAUACAAAGAGAAGCGACCUCGCGAGAGCAAGCGGACCUCAUAAAGUGCGUCGUAGUCCGGAUUGGAGUCUGCAACUCGACUCCAUGAAGUCGGAAUCGCUAGUAAUCGUGGAUCAGAAUGCCACGGUGAAUACGUUCCCGGGCCUUGUACACACCGCCCGUCACACCAUGGGAGUGGGUUGCAAAAGAAGUAGGUAGCUUAACCUUCGGGAGGGCGCUUACCACUUUGUGAUUCAUGACUGGGGUGAAGUCGUAACAAGGUAACCGUAGGGGAACCUGCGGUUGGAUCACCUCCUUACCUUAAAGAAGC
This 863-nucleotide ribosomal RNA is filed under the name Escherichia coli. RNAcentral's name for it is "bacterial SSU rRNA". It matches the Rfam family "Bacterial small subunit ribosomal RNA", at positions 682 to 1533 of the family's 1533-position model. The record is from RNAcentral. Lineage: Bacteria; Pseudomonadati; Pseudomonadota; Gammaproteobacteria; Enterobacterales; Enterobacteriaceae.